GGUGCUUUAGCUCAGGUGGUAGAGCAUCGGACUGAAAAUCCGUGUGUCCUUGGUUCGACUCCAAGAAGCACCA
Molecule: transfer RNA, 73 nt
Organism: Prevotella bivia DSM 20514
Lineage: Bacteria; Pseudomonadati; Bacteroidota; Bacteroidia; Bacteroidales; Prevotellaceae
Rfam family: tRNA
About the family: Transfer RNA (tRNA) molecules are approximately 80 nucleotides in length. Their secondary structure includes four short double-helical elements and three loops (D, anti-codon, and T loops).
Source: Rfam